CCUACGGGAGGCAGCAGUGGGGAAUCUUAGACAAUGGGGGCAACCCUGAUCUAGCCAUGCCGCGUGAGUGAUGAAGGCCUUAGGGUCGUAAAGCUCUUUCGCCUGUGAUGAUAAUGACAGUAGCAGGUAAAGAAACCCCGGCUAACUCCGUGCCAGCAGCCGCGGUAAUACGGAGGGGGUUAGCGUUGUUCGGAAUUACUGGGCGUAAAGCGCGCGUAGGCGGACUAGAAAGUUGGGGGUGAAAUCCCGGGGCUCAACCUCGGAACUGCCUCCAAAACUGCUAGUCUAGAGUUCGAGAGAGGUGAGUGGAAUUCCGAGUGUAGAGGUGAAAUUCGUAGAUAUUCGGAGGAACACCAGUGGCGAAGGCGGCUCACUGGCUCGAUACUGACGCUGAGGUGCGAAAGUGUGGGGAGCAAACAGGAUUAGAUACCCUGGUAGUCCACACCGUAAACGAUGAAUGCCAGUCGUCGGGUAGUAUACUAUUCGGUGACACACCUAACGGAUUAAGCAUUCCGCCUGGGGAGUACGGUCGCAAGAUUAAAACUCAAAGGAAUUGACGG
Molecule: ribosomal RNA, 560 nt
Filed under: uncultured eubacterium SW8
Lineage: Bacteria
Description: bacterial SSU rRNA
Rfam family: Bacterial small subunit ribosomal RNA
Source: RNAcentral